UUGGAGAGGUCUCCUAGCUGCAUGUUCCUC
Molecule: non-coding RNA, 30 nt
Filed under: Homo sapiens (human)
Lineage: Eukaryota; Metazoa; Chordata; Mammalia; Primates; Hominidae
Source: RNAcentral